This 305-nucleotide ribosomal RNA is filed under the name uncultured bacterium. RNAcentral describes it as "bacterial SSU rRNA". It matches the Rfam family "Bacterial small subunit ribosomal RNA", at positions 333 to 655 of the family's 1533-position model. The record is from RNAcentral.
AAGGGCCUACGGGACGCAGCAGUGGGGAAUAUUGCACAAUGGGGGAAACCCUGAUGCAGCAACGCCGCGUGAGUGAUGACGGCCUUCGGGUCGUAAAGCUCUGUCUUCAGGGACGAUAAUGACGGUACCUGAGGAGGAAGCCACGGCUAACUACGUGCCAGCAGCCGCGGUAAUACGUAGGUGGCGAGCGUUGUCCGGAUUUACUGGGCGUAACGGGAGCGUAGGCGGACUUUUAAGUGAGAUGUGAAAUACUCGGGCUCAACUUGAGUGCCGCAUUUCAAACUGGACGUCUAGAGUGCAGGAGG